UUGUUCAUUGUUGGUAUAUAUUGAGUUCAUAAAGUUUAGUGUGUGUAACAUGUUGCUUAUUGUAAUGAACUUAGAGUAUAACUUAAUGAACGUGUAGCUUUUGAACAAAUAACUGAAAAAUAUUUUUUGGUUAUUGUAAUGAACUUAAAGCAUAAAGUAAUGAACUUAGAGUAUAAAGUAAUGAACUUCGACGUUGGUUGCCGAAGGAUGUUGCGGCCAUUGGUUGGGG
This 229-nucleotide long non-coding RNA is filed under the name Salvia miltiorrhiza (redroot sage). RNAcentral's name for it is "long non-coding RNA (SMIL_LNC012613)". The record is from RNAcentral. Lineage: Eukaryota; Viridiplantae; Streptophyta; Magnoliopsida; Lamiales; Lamiaceae.